Brassica napus (rape) is the source of this 1712-nucleotide long non-coding RNA. RefSeq lists it as uncharacterized. NCBI's taxonomy places the organism in Eukaryota, Viridiplantae, Streptophyta, Magnoliopsida, Brassicales, Brassicaceae. The transcript is spliced from 2 exons. The record is from RefSeq and is a predicted model, not a curated record.
AUUUCAGAUUUGGAGUCCAUUUGAGCAGCUGGAGUUCAUAGAUAUCUCUUAUUAUUGCUAAGGUCGAUGUCCCACUACCAAUCAACUUGAUGAGUCUAGAAGAGAGCAGAUCUCUGCCGAAUAAGAUGCUCCUCUAAGCAUAAGAUGGCCGAAAACCUUUUCCCCAAUAAAAGAAUGUCAAGUUUGCAAAGUGUCUUCCUUUGAAUACAUGAGCAAGGAGACUGUCAGGCUCAUUUAAAAUCCUCCAUGCUUGCUUUGCACGUAAGGCUUGGUUGAAAUCUUUUAUAACUCUAACAAGCUAAUACUUUUGAGACCUGGAGGAGGAGCAUAGUAAGCAUCUUCUUAGUUUCUUCCAACAAAUAAAACAAACCAGAAUCACUAUCACAAUAAAAACGAAUCCUCCGAUAGUUUUCCCAGCCACCAAUCAUGUUGAUAACUCAUAAGAUGGAGUUCGAGGAGAUCCUCUUACGCCGCCCCUUAAGAGAUUCGGCGGUGGACCUGAGACUGAAGGUAAAGGCUUUCGAGUAGGGAUCCAGGAGGAGUAAUAGCUGCAGGAGGAGAGGGCUGAGGAGCAGGAGGAGGAGGACAUGUGAGAUUAGUGGUCGGCUGCUGAGGAAGAGUGUAGAGAAAAAAUGUGUUUUUUUUAAUUGCUGAGAAGAAGAAAGGUAUAAUUGGAAUCUUAUGUUCUCAUUUGCAUUGAAGAAAUGAACAAAGUAUCUCAGUAGCAAAAUGUGUCUUAUUGUGAUAUUAUAAAGAUGAAAAGUGACCUCAGACGUAAUUGUAAAUUCAAGUCGUAAAUAAAAUUAGAAGCUUCGCCUUAGAAUGAGGAAGGGAAAAUAAGAAUUCUCGGGGCUGCAACGACGGUGACAAAACAUUGUUUCUCCGUUGAAUUUUUUACAUCAAGAGGCACUUUAUCACUUUUCAAUUACAUCCAAGACCUGCACUUGCAAGACACUUUCUUAUAGUACCUACAGAGAGAAUUGACAGAUUUACCCUUAAAGAGAAGAAAAAGAAGUCUUUCUUAGGUUAGAGGAAAUAGAAAGUGUGUUUUUUUAUUAUUAUUUAGUUCACUUCUUAAUAAUUUGUUUUUGUUUAUUUUUAAAUGAAAAAUACAUAUAACAAUUUUUGUUGAUAUAAUAAAUUAUAUAUUUUUAUUCUCUAUGAUUUGAUAUCCACUUUGAUAUGUUUUUUUGUUACAUUUUAAAAUUUAUACUUGUACAUGUAUCCAAUGAUUGUGUUAUGGAUGAGUGAUAUGUGGAUGUUUGAAAGAAGUAAAUGAUUACAUGUAGAAUAUAAGCAUAGAGGGCACAUGUGGAUGGGUGUGGAAAGAUAAGCGUGGAUAGGUAAACAUGGACGGCUAUUUGUGGACGAGUAAAAUUAUGAUUAAAAUUCAAAAUUCAGUAUACAUAUCUCAUGGUGGAGGACUGUGACGAGCUCGAACCACCGCAUCUUCACCGAGCUCAUCCACGAAGAUGUUGAGCUCGAAAUCCAUGGCGUGACUCACCGGGAAGAGGAGUUGAUUCGUUUUGACCGGGGGUUUAAGAGGAGGAGCUGGCUCGUUUUAACUUUUUGGUUUGUUUAGCUUUGUUUUCAUCACUCAAGCUUUUUUUUCCAUGGACAUGUACGUGGCCGUCAUUGGUUUGAAAUUAUUAAUUUGUUCAUCCUUGAGAUUGUAGACACAUUGGCAUCCAUAUUGAUAUCUUGUGUAUUUA